Molecule: long non-coding RNA, 886 nt
Organism: Culex quinquefasciatus (southern house mosquito)
Lineage: Eukaryota; Metazoa; Arthropoda; Insecta; Diptera; Culicidae
Exons: 3
Source: RefSeq, a predicted model, not a curated record
GUGACGGAGUGCAAGCACUCGCGUUUACCCCUGAUGAUUAGGCAACCCCCAUGACGUGAGUUCGCUGCGCGCGCUUUGACGAGCGGUUGCUCAAACCGACACGUGAUUGGAACUCAGUUACGAUCUUAAGAGGCCGCACGUGCAGAUUCUGAACCAAGGGUUUGACUCGUUUAUCUUCGUGAGAAUUGGAAAAGGAGAGCGUGUAGGCCGUGUACCUUCAGCGUACCGAGUGGGAGCGGGACACACUAUUAGAGAGCGAUAUUUCCCGAAUAGGCUAAGCCCAACGCAACGUUUACGUGCAUCCGGUGGAUUCGUACGUAACUUCGGCGAUCAGUUUCCCAGGCUCGAGUCUGAGAAAUUUUAGUGACUCGAUCACAUUCUCCUAACCCGUGGAACGAUUCGGAAGUGCAGUGAAUUUGCUGGAGUUGUAACAAGCUAGGCCGAUAGAAAAGUAGUGCGAUAGAUAGCUAGCUUUUGUGACCUUUGUGCGAGAACCUGCGAAGAAAGGCAGCGUGGUCACAAGUUUACUUGUCUCCGGCGGCUUCCCUCGUCCGCGGACAGGAUUGCUGGCCGAGCUACAACCCUGUGGCCAGCCGCCACGCCGUCAACAUCGUGGCAGAAAAACCCCGGUCGUACCGCAACCUUCGACCGAGCCACUCCAGUCACCUGUGGCCUUUUCGACGUAAACGCCUGGCCGCACCGCAACCUAGUUGCCGCGGCGAUCUUCGUCGACUCGUGAGGAUUCUUCACGAAUCACCGUUCGAAGCUGCCUGGCCCCCAACAACCACGUGGCCCGCAGCGAACGCCUCGAACACGCCGUGACGCUGUCACGGACCGAAGGUCGGCAGACCUGAAGACCGACCACGUGGCAAAUCGAUCGGUUCCC